CUCUUUCAUGCUAACUCACUUCUUCCUGCAAUGUCUGUCUCUACCAGGUGAGCCACUACCAAGCUACCAUAACCAUGAAGAAGCACCAGUCGUUGCUUUCAUUCAGUCCACUGAAAUUUAACUAUUGGACUGAUUGGCUGAUGGCUGUGUUUGCCCAUGUGGGCUGAUGCCAGUGAUGAUAAUGGACCAAUUUGGGAGAGACAUAAGAACAGUGAUUAAAAAUAAACGGAGACUUCUGAGGUAAGAUGGCAGAAUUUUCCUUUUCUCAUCCCAGUAAGUAAG
RNAcentral lists this long non-coding RNA (282 nucleotides) under Rattus norvegicus (Norway rat). RNAcentral's name for it is "long non-coding RNA NONRATT031481". Lineage: Eukaryota; Metazoa; Chordata; Mammalia; Rodentia; Muridae. The record is from RNAcentral.